GUCAUAGUACAUAUCCUGCAGGCUUUCAACCUUGACCAGAGGUUUUCAUAAUGAAUGCAGCAUCCCUGGGGAGUGAUCUGAAGCUGGCGAGGCAAUGAGAACACCCUGGCAGGGCAGCUGAGCUGGGUGGAUCCUUGUUCUGUCACCAAGCCUUUAAGUCAUAUGCUGACAUGUUACAGUCCUGCCUGGGACCCUGCCCACAAAUACUUAAGAUACACGACUUUGGGAAUCACCCAACUGAUGGAAAGAACCAGGAAAGGGGUCAGGAUCUGCACCUUGGCAAACUUUGAAGAACACCCAAUUUGAUGAAUGAAAACUCCUCACUUGUGCUCUGGUGGUGUUUUAGGACAAUGGGCCCCUCCUGGAUGCUCCAGUGAAGCCCCAUAUCACCUUUUUCCUUCCUGUUUGCCAUAGCUCCAGGUGUAGGGACAGAUCAGAAGAUUCUGGAAAAGGCAGAUCACCAAAGAACUCAAGAUGUACUGAUAUUUUGCCAGUUUCCUUCAUCAACAACUUGUCUUCUUUACCAACUAAGGGCAAACAAAGAGAACAAACUAAAAAAAAAAAAAAAAGAAAAGAAAAGAAUUAAAUAAUUAAACAAAGAACUUAAAUAAGAAGGUUGUACCUGCCUACAAGAUUAUCAACACCAUGUGAGAACAUCCACUUUGCUGAACUCUUUCUCACAUAUCACCUUUAGAGAUGUUACAUGGUAUGCUUUUAAUU
Molecule: long non-coding RNA, 720 nt
Filed under: Homo sapiens (human)
Lineage: Eukaryota; Metazoa; Chordata; Mammalia; Primates; Hominidae
Description: HSALNT0298443
Source: RNAcentral